AUGGUCCGGACUCUGCUGCUCCUCACCUUCCUGGCCUCCUGCACAGGGACUUGGGCCCAGGUUGUGCUGAGUCAGAUCCCCUCUGUGUCAGGGUCUCCAGGGGAGAAGGUCACCAUCUCCUGUACCCGCAGCAGUGGAGAUAUCAGUUCUGACUAUGUGCACUGGUACCAGCAGCGCCCUGGGAGUCCCCCCACAAACGUGAUCUAUAAAGACAAUAAAAGACCCUCUGGGGUUCCUGAUAGGUUUUCUGGGUCCAUCGAGAGUUCCUCCAAUACUGCCUACCUGACCAUCUCUGGGUUGCAGCCUGAAGACGGGGCUGACUAUUAUUGUCAGUCCUAUGAUGAUAGCGGCUAUAGUCCCCCAGUGCUCCAGACCCAUGGGGGAAGUGAGACCAAAUCUCCCCAGAACCCUCCUGCCCCAUCAACUCAGUUCUGUCAGGUUUCCUCUUCUAGCCUCUGCUGGCUUAGCCACCCACACUUUGUCUCUCUUAGUAACUUUAGGGGCAUCAGCCUAUUCUGCACCCAGAACUGUGGCUUUUGUGUUGGUGGCGACUGCUUGUAUUGGUACCAACAGAACCCAGAGACCCUUCUCUGGUAUCUUCUGCUCUACAACACGGACUCCAACAAGCACCAGGGCCAGGUGGUCCCAGUAGUUUCUCUGAAUUCAGUGAUGUCUUGA
This is a non-coding RNA of Sorex araneus (European shrew), 678 nucleotides long. Lineage: Eukaryota; Metazoa; Chordata; Mammalia; Eulipotyphla; Soricidae. The record is from the annotation of a RefSeq genome assembly.